Molecule: ribosomal RNA, 411 nt
Filed under: uncultured bacterium
Lineage: Bacteria
Description: bacterial SSU rRNA
Rfam family: Bacterial small subunit ribosomal RNA
Source: RNAcentral
AGCGAACGUUAGCGGCGCGCCUAACACAUGCAAGUCGCACGAGAAAGGGAGCAAUCCCCGGUACAGUGGCGCACGGGUGAGUAACACGUAGAUGACCUUCCCUGGAGUGGUGGAUAACCUGCCGAAAGGCGGGCUAAUACAGCAUGGGACCACAUGGUUUUGACCGAGUGGUGAAAGCGGGCCUCUGUUCACAAGCUCGCGCUCUGGGAUGGGUCUGCGUCCCAUCAGCUAGUUGGUGAGGUAAUGGCUCACCAAGGCAUCGACGGGUAGCUGGUCUGAGAGGAUGACCAGCCACACUGGAACUGAGACACGGUCCAGACACCUACGGGAGGCAGCAGUGGGGAAUCUUGCGCAAUGGGCGAAAGCCUGACGCAGCGACGCCGCGUGGGUGAUGAAGGCCUCGGUUGUAAG